This 253-nucleotide ribosomal RNA is filed under the name uncultured bacterium. RNAcentral describes it as "partial 16S ribosomal RNA". It matches the Rfam family "Bacterial small subunit ribosomal RNA", at positions 524 to 776 of the family's 1533-position model. The record is from RNAcentral.
UACGGAGGGGGUUAGCGUUGUUCGGAAUGACUGGGCGUAAAGCGCGCGUAGGCGGGCUGGAAAGUUGGGGGUGAAAUCCCGGGGCUCAACCCCGGAAUGGCCUUCAAAACUCCCAGCCUAGAGUUCGAGAGAGGUGAGUGGAAUUCCGAGUGUAGAGGUGAAAUUCGUAGAUAUUCGGAGGAACACCAGUGGCGAAGGCGGCUCACUGGCUCGACACUGACGCUGAGGUGCGAAAGCGUGGGGAGCGAACAGG